UUACGGCCAUAUAACGUUGAAACACCGAUUCCGGUACACACCGACGUUAAGCAAGGUCGAGCCUGGUCAGUACCUAGAUGAGUGACUACUUGGAAGUACUAGAUGCUGUAA
Acanthosepion pharaonis is the source of this 111-nucleotide non-coding RNA. NCBI's taxonomy places the organism in Eukaryota, Metazoa, Mollusca, Cephalopoda, Sepiida, Sepiidae. The record is from the annotation of a GenBank genome assembly.